Siniperca chuatsi (mandarin fish) is the source of this 778-nucleotide long non-coding RNA. RefSeq lists it as uncharacterized. NCBI's taxonomy places the organism in Eukaryota, Metazoa, Chordata, Actinopteri, Centrarchiformes, Sinipercidae. The transcript is spliced from 2 exons. The record is from RefSeq and is a predicted model, not a curated record.
UUCAGUCAAGGACAUGUUUUACUCUAAUAUCAUGAUUUUACAACAUUUACUGCAUUGUAUGAUGACCAGAUAAUGUUGUUUCAAAAAGUCAAACAAAAGAAACCUGUUUUAGAGCAUAACAUGAAACUGAUCUGUUUGCUGUCUCAGAAUACAUACUACACAACAGUCAUUAUCUGGGUUUAAAAAGGGUCUGUUCCUUGUCGCUUUUCACAUCUCUUUCUUUCUAAACUUUCCCAUCUCUACCCUAAGAAUAAUCAAAAUGAGUGAGACAUGAAAAAGAAUAUGAAAGAUGAAUUGAAAAUAAGAACCACAGUAUCGUAUCAUGCUCCACACCCCUCUUUGGUUGUUUAAUAUCUUGAGGGAAGGAGCUAUGGCUGUAGUGUAAAUUGUCCAGUAACAGAUAGAGUCACUGGAUGGAUAGAGGGGUCCUGGUCUGUCUCUCUAGAUAUUACAUCCCACUGAGGAGAACACCGUGUACUGUAGUAGUGGUGGUCUGCCUAGAGAUUGCCAUAAAUCUGCAGAUCGAUCCUCCCUCUCAUUUUUCACCUCACCUGAUGGACGGGAAUGUGAUGCUGGCAAGGGCAGACAUGGGAGAUGGCUGGAGGGGAUCAGCUCACACUAUUAGAAACCAAACCCUUGGAACAAUACUGAAGCCAGUGGAGCAAAUACUAGAAGAUUAGCAACCUAAGCUGCCCAUUUGAACAGCCAGCCCUCUGUCCUCUGAAAAGCACCCUUAAGCACAUCAAGGAAAGGAAAACCGGGGGUAAUAGCUUUGGGU